UACGUAGGGGGCGAGCGUUAUCCGGAAUUAUUGGGCGUAAAGCGCGCGCAGGCGGUCAUUUAAGUCAGGUGUGAAAGGCUGCGGCUCAACCGCAGAGCGGCACCUGAAACUGGAUGACUUGAGUGCAGGAGAGGAGAGUGGAAUUCCCGGUGUAGCGGUGGAAUGCGUAGAGAUUGGGAGGAACACCAGUGGCGAAGGCGGCUCUCUGGCCUGUUACUGACGCUAAGGCGCGAAAGCGUGGGGAGCAAACAGG
RNAcentral lists this ribosomal RNA (253 nucleotides) under uncultured bacterium. RNAcentral's name for it is "partial 16S ribosomal RNA". It matches the Rfam family "Bacterial small subunit ribosomal RNA", at positions 524 to 776 of the family's 1533-position model. The record is from RNAcentral.